UCUUUGAAAGAUGAAAAUUUAACUUCAACAACUGCAAUAACAAAUUCAGCAACAGAAGAGAAGUCUACAGCUGCUGCUGCCACCACCAGUUCUCUAAGAAACAACUCUUAUGACUUUACCUACAUCAACGAGUCAAAAAGCUGGAUUGACGCACUGGGAUACUGCAAAACUCACCACCAGACUUUGGUGCACAUUUUAAAUGCCACGGCACAACAGUACAUCACACAUAUGCUGCAGGGUAAAGAAAUCCCCAAUGGAGUGUGGAUCGGGCUUGAACGGAGUAUGCUCUUCACUUGUUCGCCCUGGCUGUGGACCGGUGGGCCGUAUGUGGACUAUGCAUCAUGGCAUCAAACGUAUCCAGUGGACAGAGGGAGCAGGUUUUGUGGAAAACUUCUUAAGGAUGAAAAGAACGUGUUUGGAUGGGUGGAUGCUUGCUGCCAUGAGCACCUUCCUUUCUUUUGUCAGGGAUGAAACACUAGGUGGAGCUGUUUCCUAGUUUGGAGUCGGUUGGUGAUGAUCACAGAAACUGAGUCAUGAUGUUUUGAUAAACAUUUUUUGUUUUCUUUCUAAACAAGUUACAGUAAUAUGCAGCCCUGUGGUGUGGACUUGCAUUUGCAUUAAAAAAUGAUUUGCAUUACAAAAUUAC
This is a long non-coding RNA of Ctenopharyngodon idella (grass carp), 646 nucleotides long. RefSeq lists it as uncharacterized. The record is from RefSeq and is a predicted model, not a curated record. Lineage: Eukaryota; Metazoa; Chordata; Actinopteri; Cypriniformes; Xenocyprididae. The transcript has 3 exons.